RNAcentral lists this ribosomal RNA (1436 nucleotides) under uncultured bacterium. Its description in RNAcentral is "16S ribosomal RNA". It matches the Rfam family "Bacterial small subunit ribosomal RNA". The record is from RNAcentral.
AGGGUUUGAUCAUGGCUCAGAACGUACGCUGGCGGCACGCCUAACACAUGCAAGUCGAACGAAGUAGCAAUACUUAGUGGCAGACGGGUGAGUAACAUGUGGGUAUCUGCCCUUUGGCCUGGAAUAACACGAGGAAACUUGUGCUAAUACCGGAUAAGUCUUUACGGAGAAAGCUUUAUGCACCAUUGGAUGAGCCCGCACUUGAUUAGUUUGUUGGUGGGGUAAUGGCCUACCAAGACUGUGAUCAAUAGCUGAUUUGAGAGGAUGAUCAGCCACAUUGGGACUGAGACACGGCCCAAACUCCUACGGGAGGCAGCAGUGGGGAAUCUUGCACAAUGGAGGAAACUCUGAUGCAGCGAUGCCGCGUGAGUGAAGAAGGCCCUUGGGUUGUAAAGCUCUUUCGUCGGGGAAGAAAAUGACUGUACCCGAAUAAGAAGGUCCGGCUAACUUCGUGCCAGCAGCCGCGGUAAUACGAAGGGACCUAGCGUAGUUCGGAAUUACUGGGCUUAAAGAGUUCGUAGGUGGUUGAAAAAGUUGGUGGUGAAAUCCCAGAGCUUAACUCUGGAACUGCCAUCAAAACUUUUCAGCUAGAGUAUGAUAGAGGAAAGCAGAAUUUCUAGUGUAGAGGUGAAAUUCGUAGAUAUUAGAAAGAAUACCAAUUGCGAAGGCAGCUUUCUGGAUCAUUACUGACACUGAGGAACGAAAGCAUGGGUAGCGAAGAGGAUUAGAUACCCUCGUAGUCCAUGCCGUAAACGAUGUGUGUUAGACGUUGGAAAUUUAUUUUCAGUGUCGCAGCGAAAGCAUUAAGCACACCGCCUGGGGAGUACGACCGCAAGGUUAAAACUCAAAUGAAUUGACGGGGACCCGCACAAGUAGUGGAGCAUGUGGUUUAAUUCGAAGAUACGCGCAGAACCUUACCAACACUUGACAUGUUCGUCGCGACUCUGAGAGAUCAGAGUUUUCGGUUCGGCCGGACGAAACACAGGUGCUGCAUGGCUGUCGUCAGCUCGUGUCGUGAGAUGUUGGGUUAAGUCCCGCAACGAGCGCAACCCCUACCUUUAGUUGCCACCAUUAAGUUGGGCACUUUAAAGGAACUGCCAGUGAUAAGCUGGAGGAAGGUGGGGAUGACGUCAAGUCCUCAUGGCCCUUACGUGUUGGGCUACACACGUGCUACAAUGGCACUUACAGUGGGAAGCUAAGACGCGAGUCCAAGCUAAUCCCUAAAAUGUGCCUCAGUUCGGAUUGCACUCUGUAACUCGAGUGCAUGAAGCUGGAAUUACUAGUAAUCGCGGAUCAGCGUGCCACGGUGAAUGCGUUCCCGGGUCUUGUACACACCGCCCGUCACACCAUGGGAGUUGGUUCUACCUUAAGGCAAGGUUUCAAACCCUUGACCACGGUAUAGUCAGCGACUGGGGUGAAGUCGUAACAAGGUAGCC